RNAcentral lists this ribosomal RNA (464 nucleotides) under Vreelandella stevensii. Its description in RNAcentral is "partial 16S ribosomal RNA". It matches the Rfam family "Bacterial small subunit ribosomal RNA", at positions 338 to 795 of the family's 1533-position model. The record is from RNAcentral. Lineage: Bacteria; Pseudomonadati; Pseudomonadota; Gammaproteobacteria; Oceanospirillales; Halomonadaceae.
CCUACGGGGGGCUGCAGUGGGGAAUAUUGGACAAUGGGGGGAACCCUGAUCCAGCCAUGCCGCGUGUGUGAAGAAGGCCCUCGGGUUGUAAAGCACUUCAGUGAGGAAGAACGCCUGGUGGUUAAUACCCAUCAGGAAAGACAUCACUCACAGAAGAAGCACCGGCUAACUCCGUGCCAGCAGCCGCGGUAAUACGGAGGGUGCGAGCGUUAAUCGGAAUUACUGGGCGUAAAGCGCGCGUAGGUGGCUUGAUAAGCCGGUUGUGAAAGCCCCGGGCUCAACCUGGGAACGGCAUCCGGAACUGUCAAGCUAGAGUGCAGGAGAGGAAGGUAGAAUUCCCGGUGUAGCGGUGAAAUGCGUAGAGAUCGGGAGGAAUACCAGUGGCGAAGGCGGCCUUCUGGACUGACACUGACACUGAGGUGCGAAAGCGUGGGUAGCAAACAGGAUUAGAUACCCGUGUAGUC